RNAcentral lists this transfer RNA (73 nucleotides) under Virgisporangium aliadipatigenens. RNAcentral describes it as "tRNA-Pyl". It matches the Rfam family "tRNA". Rfam says of the family: Transfer RNA (tRNA) molecules are approximately 80 nucleotides in length. Their secondary structure includes four short double-helical elements and three loops (D, anti-codon, and T loops). Lineage: Bacteria; Bacillati; Actinomycetota; Actinomycetes; Micromonosporales; Micromonosporaceae. The record is from RNAcentral.
GUCCCAGAUGCUCAACGGAUGAGCGGCCGCCUCUAAAACGGCUGUAGCGGGUUCGACUCCUGCCUGGGGCACC